Molecule: non-coding RNA, 261 nt
Organism: Vicia faba (fava bean)
Lineage: Eukaryota; Viridiplantae; Streptophyta; Magnoliopsida; Fabales; Fabaceae
Source: the annotation of a GenBank genome assembly
AUGUGCUAUCCUGUACACACUCUCAGUUGUUCACUAAAAAAAUCAACAACAACACUACUUGAUGGAGUGAAACGCAUCACACAAUCACAUGUUCAUGUUUCAAAUUUUCCAAGUUUUCCCUCUAACAAACUUCUCUUCCACUCUAUCUCACUCAACACACUCUAUAUAACUUUCUCCUCUUUCUCAUUCACACACACACGCCUUGCACUGCUUAAAAAGUCAGAUCUGAUGUUGCUUACUAUUCUUCAAAGCUUUCUUUGA